AACAGUUGGUGCCGCAUUUUGCGGAGAAUAGGGAAACAGGUGAGAGGCCUGUGCGAUCUCGUCACUGUAUGCAGCGAGUAGUUGUCGAUGAUGCCACUGAGGAGACUUGGGAAGGCAGACAGACUAUGUGGAACUGCGAGUCAGGAGACCUGCCAGCUGUG
This 161-nucleotide non-coding RNA is filed under the name human gut metagenome. The record is from RNAcentral.